Non-coding RNA from Paramuricea clavata, 465 nucleotides. The record is from the annotation of a GenBank genome assembly. NCBI's taxonomy places the organism in Eukaryota, Metazoa, Cnidaria, Anthozoa, Malacalcyonacea, Plexauridae.
CUUUUUAUGACACGUUUGAGGGAAUGUUUAUUGGAGAGGGGGGCAGAAUAGAAAAGAGGAGUUACUGAUCAUGAUUUAGAUAUCUAAACGUGGUAGCCUAAAAGCUAACAUAAACGUCCAGGAUAAUUUGUCUAAUUAAUAAAUCUAUUCGGUAAACAUGUGUUUAUAUAUGAAGGGGAUGGGGGAGGGUCGCUUAUUGGAGAGGGGAACUACUUGAUGUAUUUAUAUGUAAAGAGGGAUGGUUUAUUAGAGAAAGGUGGUGUUAAUAAAUUUCUUGUUCUGAAAAGGAGGACAUCGAUUAUUAGACAGGGAGCUUUUUGAGAGGGGUCUCAAUAAAGGAUUUACGGUAACACACACCCGCCAGCUUCGCGGCGUCCCUGGCUGAAUGUAUAUAUAGUAAUUUGCAUAAGAAAUAUUUGAAUAUAAUCUUAUCAGUAGUGCUUGCUUUGUAGAGAAAGAGAGGGG